GUGUCAGCAGCCGCGGUAAUACGGAGGGUGCAAGCGUUGUUCGGAUUUAUUGGGCGUAAAGGGCGUGUAGGCGGUCUCAUAAGUCUGAUGUGAAAGCCCCGGGCUCAACCUGGGAAGUGCAUUGGAAACUGUGAGACUUGAGUACGGGAGAGGGCAGUGGAAUUCCCAGUGUAGGAGUGAAAUCCGUAGAUAUUGGGAGGAACACCGGUGGCGAAGGCGGCUGCCUGGACCGAUACUGACGCUGAGACGCGAAAGCGUGGGGAGCAAACAGGAUUAGAAACCCCAGUAGUCC
Molecule: ribosomal RNA, 292 nt
Filed under: uncultured bacterium
Lineage: Bacteria
Description: partial 16S ribosomal RNA
Rfam family: Bacterial small subunit ribosomal RNA
Source: RNAcentral